CUCACCUCACCCCACUCACCCCCACUCACCGUCACAGACUAACGCGCACACACACGCUUUGGAAAAGAAAGAAAGAAAGGAAAGAAAGAAAGAAAAGAAGAAAGAGAGAGGGAAACGAGGAACCGAGAGGGAGGGGGCGCCGAGGAUGAAGGAACGCUAGGAGAGGUGGAGCUCGCCGCCACCAUCGCAUCAGCGCCUCGCCGCCGUCAUACUCGCAGGCAUGGAAGAAGCCCUUCACUGCCGCUGCUGCUCGUGAAGCCGACGCCGUCGCGGGUUAGAACUGGGGCGAGAGAGAAGGUCGCGAAGGAGGAGAGAACCGCGCCGUCCAGUCGCCGUCUGUGAAGCCUGGGUCGCCGUCCACGCUCGCCGCCGCCGUUUGUCCUCCCCACUGCCAGACGCCGUCGCCGUUUGUGAAGAAGAGAGGGAGCUCACCUUGCCUUCAGGUCCGCCACCAGAUCCGCCGUUGGAGUCCCGAACAGAGGACGAGAGAGAGAACCGUCGCGGAGCUGCCGUCGCCGCCGUGUUGCUGGCUCCGCCAUCAUUAUGCUCGCGCUCUGCUGUGUCGCCGGAGCUCCACGCCGCCGUUGCUGCCGCUAAGAACCGCCACUGAAGUCCUUUUUCCCUGGGGCCGAGUUGUGGUUCUUGCAUGCUGAGUUCAGUACCCGUGCAUGCGACAUCAAGUUGCUGCGUCGUCAACGGAGUCGCCGCCGUUCCGUUUUUCCGGAUACUCGUUGAGUUCGGUUCUUACGUGCCGUGGUUAAAGUUGCUGUGUUUGCUGUGAAAGAGAUUAGGGCUGAGGUCUAAGUUGUCGUUGAUUUUGGGCUGAGCAAAAAGAGUUCAGUUGACACGUGUGGGUUAUGGUUUUGCUUAUCGAGCUUUACCUUUUCAGGAACCGGAAGAAGAAGCAUUAAGAGGAGUUAUACUGCGUUUGGUUUAUAUGUUGUUGAAUUAAUUAGAUUAUUCUCUUCCCUCGUCUUUGUUAUUACAAUUUUGUAAGAGGGAUAGGAGUUGUAUGUUUUAUGUAUAUUAUAUUAUAUGAUAUUAUGUAAGAAGUCUUGUAUUUGAAUCUAUGUGUUUGUUUUUUUAAGAUAAAUUUUUAUUUUCGGUUUUA
Long non-coding RNA from Arachis ipaensis, 1111 nucleotides. RefSeq lists it as uncharacterized. NCBI's taxonomy places the organism in Eukaryota, Viridiplantae, Streptophyta, Magnoliopsida, Fabales, Fabaceae. The record is from RefSeq and is a predicted model, not a curated record.